AUACGUCAUCCCGCACAAGCGGCGGAGCAUGUGGCUUAAUUCGAUGCAACGCGAAGAACCUUACCUGGGUUUGACAUACGCCAGAAGCCUGCAGAGAUGUGGGUCUCUUUGGACACUGGUGUACAGGUGGUGCAUGGCUGUCGUCAGCUCGUGUCGUGAGAUGUUGGGUUAAGUCCCGCAACGAGCGCAACCCUCAUUCCAUGUUGCCAGCAUUUAGUUGGGGACUCAUGGGAGACUGCCGGGGUCAACUCGGAGGAAGGUGGGGAUGACGUUUGUCAGUCAA
Molecule: unclassified non-coding RNA, 283 nt
Filed under: uncultured Nocardioidaceae bacterium
Lineage: Bacteria; Bacillati; Actinomycetota; Actinomycetes; Propionibacteriales; Nocardioidaceae
Description: contains 16S-23S intergenic spacer region
Rfam family: Bacterial small subunit ribosomal RNA
Source: RNAcentral